UACAGAGGUCCCAAGCGUUGUUCGGAUUCACUGGGCGUAAAGGGUGCGCAGGUGGGUUGGCAAGUUCGAUGUGAAAGCCCCGGGCUUAACCCGGGAAUGGCAUUGGAAACUGCUGAUCUGGAGGAUCGGAGGGGGGACUGGAAUUCUUGGUGUAGCAGUGAAAUGCGUAGAUAUCAAGAGGAACACCAGUGGCGAAGGCGGCUCACUGGCCCGAUACUGACGCUGAGGCACGAAAGCGUGGGGAGCAAACAGG
RNAcentral lists this ribosomal RNA (253 nucleotides) under uncultured bacterium. Its description in RNAcentral is "partial 16S ribosomal RNA". It matches the Rfam family "Bacterial small subunit ribosomal RNA", at positions 524 to 776 of the family's 1533-position model. The record is from RNAcentral.